UUUUUUGUAUUAUAAAGGAAUUUUAGCAUUUAUUUUUGAGCAUAUUGUACAAGAAAUUUUAUAUACUGGUAACAAAUUCAUGAUAUUUACGCAUCAUAGAAGGUCAAGAACUCUUCGUCACUGUCAGUAUCAGAAGUGGUGUCUUCUUUAAUUUCUACAUUUCCAGUGUCUUCUGAAGAGUCACUUUCCUCCUCCCGGUAAAUUUCGUCUUCACUUCCAUCCAUAGCAUUACUUAUGCCGCAUUUUUUUAGACGAUUUCACAACCACAUCCUCCUGACACUGUUCUACUAUCUUAGGAUCCAACCACAAACCUAGGCGAUAGGUGCUUUCUUGAUUCUGCCUAUAGGUCUUGAAUCAUUACCAGGUGACCGCAUCCACGCCAUCCACUCUUUCUUCAUUAGGGCCUUAAAGGGCUUGUUUACUGACACACCAAGAGGUCGCAGUUGGCUGGUUG
Phyllostomus discolor (pale spear-nosed bat) is the source of this 454-nucleotide long non-coding RNA. RefSeq lists it as uncharacterized. The transcript is spliced from 2 exons. NCBI's taxonomy places the organism in Eukaryota, Metazoa, Chordata, Mammalia, Chiroptera, Phyllostomidae. The record is from RefSeq and is a predicted model, not a curated record.